This 216-nucleotide long non-coding RNA is filed under the name Hordeum vulgare. RNAcentral describes it as "long non-coding RNA (HVUL_LNC003108)". The record is from RNAcentral. Lineage: Eukaryota; Viridiplantae; Streptophyta; Magnoliopsida; Poales; Poaceae.
ACCAAGGUUCUUAUGAUGUUUUUACCUAACUAAGCUAAUUACGUCAUUUUGGAGGAUAAUUAGCUAAGUAUGUAUUUGUUAGGGGAAAAUAAUCUACAUAGAAGAAGAAAGAGAAGAAGCAAGAAGAGAAGAAGAAGGAGAAGAAAAAAAGAAGGAGGACGAGGACGAGGAUGAGGAGAAGGAGAAGGAGAAGGAAGAGGAGAAGAAGAAGAAAAG